RNAcentral lists this ribosomal RNA (465 nucleotides) under uncultured bacterium. RNAcentral's name for it is "partial 16S ribosomal RNA". It matches the Rfam family "Bacterial small subunit ribosomal RNA", at positions 339 to 795 of the family's 1533-position model. The record is from RNAcentral.
CUACGGGGCGCUGCAGUGAGGAAUUUUGCGCAAUGGGGGGAACCCUGACGCAGCAACGCCGCGUGAGUGAUGAAGGCUUUCGGGUCGUAAAGCUCUGUCAAGUGGGAAGAACCUAUGCAGUGUUAAUAUCACUGUAUACUGACGGUACCACUGAAGGAAGCACCGGCUAGCUCCGUGCCAGCAGCCGCGGUAAUACGGGGGGUGCAAGCGUUAUUCGGAAUCAUUGGGCGUAAAGGGCACGUAGGCGGCUUGGUAAGUCAGAUGUGAAAGCCCGGGGCUUAACCCCGGAAGUGCAUUUGAUGCUGUCAGGCUUGAGUAUGGGAGAGGGAAGUGGAAUUCCUGGUGUAGAGGUGAAAUUCGUAGAUAUCAGGAGGAACACCGGUGGCGAAGGCGACUUCCUGGACCAAUACUGACGCUGAGGUGCGAAGGCGUGGGUAGCAAACAGGAUUAGAUACCCCCGUAGUC